This 492-nucleotide ribosomal RNA is filed under the name uncultured bacterium. RNAcentral's name for it is "partial 16S ribosomal RNA". It matches the Rfam family "Bacterial small subunit ribosomal RNA", at positions 29 to 507 of the family's 1533-position model. The record is from RNAcentral.
AGUGAACGCUGGCGGUAGGCCUAACACAUGCAAGUCGAACGGCAGCACAGUAAGAGCUUGCUCUUACGGGUGGCGAGUGGCGGACGGGUGAGGAAUACAUCGGAAUCUACUUUUUCGUGGGGGAUUACGUAGGGAAACUUACGCUAAUACCGCAUACGACCUACGGGUGGAAGCAGGGGAUCUUCGGACCUUGCGCGACUGAAUGAGCCGAUGUCGGAUUAGCUUGUUGGCGGGGUAAAGGCCCACCAAGGCGACGAUCCGUAGCUGGUCUGAGAGGAUGAUCAGCCACACUGGAACUGAGACACGGUCCAGACUCCUACGGGAGGCAGCAGUGGGGAAUAUUGGACAAUGGGCGCAAGCCUGAUCCAGCCAUACCGCGUGGGUGAAGAAGGCCUUCGGGUUGUAAAGCCCUUUUGUUGGGAAAGAAAAGCAGCAGGUUAAUACCCCGCUGUUCUGACGGUACCCAAAGAAUAAGCACCGGCUAACUUCGUG